Long non-coding RNA from Pseudopipra pipra, 1353 nucleotides. RefSeq lists it as uncharacterized. The transcript is spliced from 2 exons. The record is from RefSeq and is a predicted model, not a curated record. Lineage: Eukaryota; Metazoa; Chordata; Aves; Passeriformes; Pipridae.
GGCACAGGUUGCCCAGAGAAGCUGUGGCUGCCCCAUCCCUGGAAGUGUCCAAGGGCAGGCUGGAUGGGGCUUGGAGCAACCUGGGCUAGUGGAAGGUGUCCCUGCCCAUGGCAGGGGGCUUGGAGCUAAGUAGUCUUUAAGUUUCCUUCCACCCAAACCAUUCUGUGACCCUAUGAUUCCAUAACUGUUCAUUAGCUGUUGUGUAAUUAGUUCUGUAAUAGUCAACCUAAAGCUUGCAUACCUUAAUGUAACACACAAGGUACUUCCCUGAACAAUGGAGAGGCAUAACCUUGAUUAUUUAAGUAGGUAUUUACUAUUUCAGUUCUUUAGUAGUAAAAGUUACUCUUUGGGAUUGGUGAUGGUCCUUGUGUUAUUUAAGAAAACUGUUGUGUUGCCUAUCAUUGUCUCUACAGGGAUCAAGCAGCAGAGCAGAGAUGUGACUGCACAGCUCAGCAUGGUUCCCAAUUCUCUUCUAAAUUAAACUAUUUGACUUUAGUAUUUCUAGGCCAUGGUGUUUCCAACACUACCUUUCAAUACCUUGGUGAGCUGAUAAUGCUGACUGUGAUAGUGAGGUUCAAGGCAUGAAAGCCCAAGGACAGGGAAGGAGAACACAUGUUCACUGAAGGACUAGAGCCAACCGGUGCUACACCUGCAUCAUCUCCUCUUCAUUUGUGUGCUGUUGUCAGGGUUAAGGAGGAGGGGGUACCUCAUAUCGAGAGGAGUCAGCAUUGCCUCUGAGAGGGAGGUCAACUUGCGCUGCAUUUUUAGACUGUCAGGCACUGUGGUCUUGCCCUGUGGUCUGUGUAAGUAUUUUUCUCUCUGUACUAAAUAGAGGCUGACUUUCCAUCUAAUUUGCCUGUAAAAGAAAUGCAUGCAAACAGCUGUUCCCUAACAAUAUCUGUCAGUCCGAACUCACCUGAGACAAGAUGAGCUGAUGAUUCAGACUGAGCUUGUCCAAAUACCUUUCUGCAUUGGUGAGACACUAACACUUCAGUUAGUCAAGAUUUAGUCAAUUCUUGACAUCCAGCUUUGCAACUCAUCAAUAUGUAAUGUAAGCCUUCAAAGGUCAAUCUCAGAACAUUGAAAAUCCAUCUUCUCCUGCUGCAAAUACGUCAGGGACACAAAUACACGUGCCAGCCUAGGAGGCCUCCGGGACAGCAACACACUCAGUUUAAGAAGAUUCCUGAAUAAGGGUGCUUCAGGGACAUAGUCAGUUGUCAAUGGUAGUGAUAAAAGAUUGCUAAAGGCAGCAAAAAGUAGUUUCAAAAAUUAAUUCAUUGUUUAAAUUGUUGUAUCCACCUAAAAUCCUAUCUCUGUUGCUCCCGAUUAAGAAAAAUAAAUGGCCUGUUUGGA